AAGUCGUAACAAGGUUUCCGUAGGUGAACCUGCGGAAGGAUCAUUAUUGAAAUAAACCUGAUGGGUUGCUGCUGGCUCUCUUGGGAGCAUGUGCACACUUGUCAUCUUUAUAUCUCCACCUGUGCACCUUUUGUAGAUCUGGAUAUCUUUCUGAAUGCCUGGCAUUCAGGUUUGAGGAUUGACUUUUGUCUUUCCUUACAUUUCCAGGCCUAUGUUUUCUUCAUAUACACCAUGUAUGUUAUAGAAUGUAAUGAAAAGGGCCUUUGUGCCUACAAACCUUAUACAACUUUCAGCAACGGAUCUCUUGGCUCUC
Molecule: unclassified non-coding RNA, 313 nt
Filed under: Cortinarius sp.
Lineage: Eukaryota; Fungi; Basidiomycota; Agaricomycetes; Agaricales; Cortinariaceae
Description: partial internal transcribed spacer region
Rfam family: Eukaryotic small subunit ribosomal RNA (bases 1-46)
Source: RNAcentral